This 320-nucleotide ribosomal RNA is filed under the name uncultured eukaryote. RNAcentral's name for it is "partial 18S ribosomal RNA". It matches the Rfam family "Eukaryotic small subunit ribosomal RNA", at positions 1470 to 1796 of the family's 1831-position model. The record is from RNAcentral.
CUCCUAUAUGUCCUGGGCCGCACGCGCACUACACUGACACAGAAAACGAGCAUUCCGCUUGCGGCCUGCGCCGAAGGGUGCGGGAAAUCUUAGAAACCUGUGUCGUGAUGGGGAUAGAUCAUUGAAAUUAUUGUCCUUGAACGAGGAAUGUCUUGUAGGCGCGUUUCAUCAGAACGCACCGAAUACGUCCCUGGUUCUUGUACACACCGCCCGUCGUUGCCUGUAAUGGCUUGCGAGUAGAACCAUUUGGAGGUACUGGAGUUCUCUUCGGUCCAAAAUUUGGUAAUACUCGUAAGCUAGAAGAGGCAAAANUCGUANCA